CUGAGCUGAGUUUGGGUUUAACCCUCUGAUGUCUGCUGUUUAGUUGCACACCAGAGCCUCGGGAACUCUUUCUGUAGUAAAUUAAUUUACAUUUGGAGGAUUUUCUAAAGAUGCGGGCUUCCUGUGGAGCCAGCAAGAUCAAAGUGUCUCAUUCUGUGUUUGAUGAUGUUUGAUGUUUGCUUUGAGUGUGAAUGUUGCUGACUUUUUGCUGUCUUUUUAUUUGCACAGCGGGAGGUGCUCUUUCCUGCGUUUUACUUUCUGCCUUUCGCCCAAAUUCGGGUGUGACCCCACAGAACGCUGAUGAGACAUCUUACUGUGGCCAGAGAACAUCUAAAGACCAGGAAUACAGUUACAGCAGGGUAAAAAUACUUUUCUUAAAUCUUUUUAGGAUCUGACAUCACUGCAGCCUUCACUAUUAGCAAUUAUGAUUUUUAACUGUAGGCUCUGUUGAUCUACUCCCCACUUUUAAAUGACACGAGGAAGCAUCGCAUUAUGUCCCCACCAGAAAAAUGACAGCACUUGUGAUUUGAGGACAGAGAGGAAGGCGGUGUUUUUCCCUUCUCUGUUUACAUUUAGGAACAAAUGUUGACAUGAAGGUUAAAGAGGGAGACUCUGCU
RNAcentral lists this long non-coding RNA (617 nucleotides) under Betta splendens (Siamese fighting fish). Its description in RNAcentral is "lncRNA (ENSBSLG00000021771.1)". Lineage: Eukaryota; Metazoa; Chordata; Actinopteri; Anabantiformes; Osphronemidae. The record is from RNAcentral.